UUGCCCCGAGAUGAGUUCUCCCUGAGACUUUAGGUCUCCUGAAGGAACGUUGAAGACGACGACGUUGAUAGGCCGGGUGUGUAAGCGCAGCGAUGCGUUGAGCUAACCGGUACUAAUGAACCGUGAGGCUUAACCUU
RNAcentral lists this ribosomal RNA (137 nucleotides) under Salmonella enterica. RNAcentral describes it as "partial 23S ribosomal RNA". It matches the Rfam family "Bacterial large subunit ribosomal RNA", at positions 2794 to 2925 of the family's 2925-position model. The record is from RNAcentral. RNAcentral also lists the same sequence under 1 other name. Lineage: Bacteria; Pseudomonadati; Pseudomonadota; Gammaproteobacteria; Enterobacterales; Enterobacteriaceae.